RNAcentral lists this long non-coding RNA (2620 nucleotides) under Equus caballus (horse). RNAcentral describes it as "lncRNA (ENSECAG00000046686.1)". Lineage: Eukaryota; Metazoa; Chordata; Mammalia; Perissodactyla; Equidae. The record is from RNAcentral.
GUGGACAGGUUUCAGUGGAGCUUCCAGACUAAGACAGACUAGGAAGAAGGAGCUGGCCACCCAUUUCCAUGAAUCUCCAUGGAACCUUGUCUGAUACAGAGCUGAAGGCAUUCAGAACCUACUGAAGUGUAAAUCACUGCUUCAGAGAAGGCUGGCCACACCAGAGAACACAUUCGCAUGUUUGAACUUCUGAAGUUUCCUCUGAGGAAAGAAUUACCUCAAUAGUACCUGGCUUGAAUAUUUAUUAGGCACCAGGUACAUAACGUCCACUAAGUGUCUUCUACUGCUGUGCCUCCCGAUUCUCUGCUCAGGACCGAGUCACUCAUUAUUCUUAGUUUCUUGCAAGUCUUUGAAUUUGACCACACAAAGAUGAGUAUUUCUCUAGCAAGUUCCCCAGGUCCAAGAGAACCACUUAGCCCAAGAUCACAUCCCCUUCAUGAAGGAAGCACACACUUGUUGACUCUUCACAGCUGGCUCUUGGUGAGGAGAUGGACAUUUGCUACUAUCUCUGGUGUAAAUACGCCCAGCAUGGCCAAGUUCACCCGCUGAUGUGACAUCACUAAAUGCAAAAUGGAGAAGAGAUGCACACAAUUGCCUCUGUUGAGCGAUAAGAAUAAAUGAAUACUGUUUUCUGCACCCCGGUAUACAGUUGCAUAUUCUUCGUUGUGGGUCCUUCUAGUUGUGGUAUGUGGGACGCUGCCUCAGCAUGGUUUGAUGAGCGGUGCCAUGUUCGCGUCUGGGAUUUGAACCAACGAAACACUGGGCCGCCUGCAGUGGAGCACGUGAACUUAACCACUCGGCAACGGGGCCAGCCCAAGAUAAAAUCUGCUUUUAAUAUUCAUUUCAAUGGUUUCUUUUUACUUUUUUUUUUUGAGGAAGAUUGGCCUUGAGCUAACGUCUGUUGUCAAUCUUCCUCUUUUUACUUGAGGAAGAUUGUUGCUGAGCUAACAUCUGUGCCAAUCUUCUUCUAUUUUAUGCAGGAUGCCACCACAGCAUGGUUUGACGAUCAGAGCUAGGUCCUGGCCUGGAUCUGAACCUGCAAACUCCUGACCGCUGAAGCUGAGUGUGGGAAGGCAAUCACCACACCAACAGAGACUGCUUUUUCUCUAAGAUUGAGGAAAGAAAGAAAGAUGGAGUUGCAAAAGAAAAUAUUUCCAUUUCCAACACAUGUGUAUAUGGAACAGCAUGUAGUCAUUUUUUCCCCAGUUACAGGAAGGUCCCACUCUGCCUAAAGCAUUCUGUGAGGCAUUAGCCCAGCUCACCACGUGCACGGCAAACACAUGCAAGGAAAGCCAUUUUUACUGAGCAGAUCUGGUCCUGAGAAAGACAAACCCUUUUGGUUCUGUUUCAAGGCAGUUUAACCACCACGACGUAACAGCUGGAACUCCACUUUAGCCAUCUCUCACACAAGUCUUUCUGAUCGGUUAUGGAUUUUUCUCGUCAACAGCACAAACGCAGAAGGCUGACGACUGCUGGUUUCUGGCUGUCUGCUCACAAAGGCAGUUUGAUGGUGCGCUGAGCACUGGUAGAUUCCUUGUAUAUCUCCACAGCACACAUCGUAUCAGGAGAUACAUUCAGCCUGCUCUGUGCCCCCACUGCAAAAAAUUAAACUGAAUAAUCGAACAAACCACACCUUAAAUAAGAAAGAGAUUCUUUUCUAAGAUUGACAAAUUAUACUGAAAAUGUAUCAACUUUUCUCAACAAAAACUUUUUGGAAGGAUCAUUUCAAAUAUUUAAUGCUUUCUCUUUUUCCUUCAAAAUGGAAAACCCAAAUGUGAUGACUCUCCACUUACAAUGAGUUCAUUGUGCAUUUAUACAGGACACCAACCCUCAUGGCAGCCAGUGAUGUGCAUCUCUUUCCACAUUCCUGUGAAGUGACUUCUUUUUUUCUUUUUAAAGAUUGGCACCUGAGCUAACAACUGUUGCCAAUCUUCUUCUUUUUUUUCUUUCUUUCUGCCUUUUCUCCCCAAAUCCCCCCAGUACAUAGUUGUAUAUUUUAGUUGUGGGUUCUUCUAGUUGUGGCACGUGGGACGCCACCUCAGCGUGGCCUGAUGAGCGGUGCCAUGUCCGCACCCAGGAUCCGACCCGGCGAAACCCUGGGCUGCUGCAUCAGAGCGCGGGAACUCAACCACUCGGCCACGGGGCUGGCCCCAAGUGACUUCUCAUUGGUAGCUUGAGAGCAACAAACCAAACAAAUCAGGAUUUUCCCUCCAUCUGAGAGUUAGUUAUUAAAUAUUGACCAGCACACUUCUGAUUUUCAAUUUCCUUCCGUCUGAUCGUUCUGGGAUACGGCAAAGCUGAGCAUCAGAACUUGCAUCCUAGUAGAAGCACCAGGCAAAGAUACAGCAGAGCCACCUGGGUGCUGGUUGUUCAUCCUUUCCCUAGGCAAGAUUCUGACUUCUUAAAAUCCUUAUUUUUAAACUGCAACAAGAAUAUAUACAUUUUAAGUGGCAUUUUAUAAAGGAAAGGGACAAAAUUGUAAGAUAGCUAUUAUCUAAAUGACUAAAUAUGAUAAUGUCAACUUUUAUGGGCUUUACCAGUGAGGGAGCUUGUACGCUAUGAGACAGAGGCCUUGAGUGAAGAUUAGAGACCCUCUGCUCACUAAUGUGAUGUAAGGGAG